UACAGAGGUGGCAAGCGUUGUUCGGAAUUACUGGGCGUAAAGGGCGCGUAGGCGGCCCGUCAAGUCCCGUGUGAAAGCCCCCGGCUCAACCGGGGAACGGCGCGGGAAACUAGCAGGCUUGAGUUCGGGAGAGGGAAGCGGAAUUCCGGGUGUAGCGGUGAAAUGCGCAGAUAUCCGGAGGAACACCGGUGGCGAAGGCGGCUUCCUGGACCGACACUGACGCUGAGGCGCGAAAGCUGGGGGAGCAAACGGG
This 253-nucleotide ribosomal RNA is filed under the name uncultured bacterium. RNAcentral describes it as "partial 16S ribosomal RNA". It matches the Rfam family "Bacterial small subunit ribosomal RNA", at positions 524 to 776 of the family's 1533-position model. The record is from RNAcentral.